RNAcentral lists this ribosomal RNA (468 nucleotides) under uncultured bacterium. Its description in RNAcentral is "partial 16S ribosomal RNA". It matches the Rfam family "Bacterial small subunit ribosomal RNA", at positions 28 to 507 of the family's 1533-position model. The record is from RNAcentral.
GACGAACGCUGGCGGCGUGCUUAACACAUGCAAGUCGAACGGAAAGGCCCCGUUGUGGGGGAGUGGAGGGGCGAAGGGGGGAUGAACACGAGAGUAAUCAACCCCCCUCGACGGGGGAACAUCAUGAAAAAAGGGGGACUAACGCAGAGUAGGUGCUGCUGCAGGGUGGGGGGGGUAGAAUUGCUUCGGCGGGGGGGGUUUGGCUCGCGGCUUAUCAGCUUGUUGGGGGGGUAGUGGCUCACCAAGGCUUUGACGGGUAGCCGGCCUGAGAGGGUGACCGGCCACAUUGGGACUGAGAUACGGCCCAGACUCCUACGGGAGGCAGCAGUGGGGAAUAUUGCACAAUGGGCGGAAGCCUGAUGCAGCAACGCCGCGUGCGGGAUGACGGCCUUCGGGUUGUAAACCGCUUUCGCCUGUGACGAAGCGUGAGUGACGGUAAUGGGUAAAGAAGCACCGGCUAACUACGUG